RNAcentral lists this ribosomal RNA (2430 nucleotides) under Triticum aestivum (bread wheat). RNAcentral describes it as "partial small subunit ribosomal RNA". The record is from RNAcentral. Lineage: Eukaryota; Viridiplantae; Streptophyta; Magnoliopsida; Poales; Poaceae.
AUGUCCUUCCUGGCAUCUGGCCGUGCCCGCCUCCUCCGGGGCAUCUCCAGGCACCGUCCUCCACAGCAAGGACGCUACACCGCGUGCUUCCGGCGUUACAAGGCGCAUUUCUUGCUGGACGGGACUGAUGAUGCAGCGGAGAGCGCCGUCGAAUCGCAGCAACCACCGGUGUCUCUGGCGAAGAGUCUGGCAUCUCUCGCCGAGGAAUCAACCAUUGCUGCUCAGAGGCAGCGGAAGCCCCUGUCCCGGAUGGAGCGGAAGAGGCUGGCCGAGCUCCGGAUAAAAAAGAGGGUCAAGGCGCAGUAUUUGAAUGGCAAGUUUUACGAUCUCAUGGGUAAGGUGGUGGCUACCAUUGAUACGCUGGAGGAUGCUUACGACAUUGUCCGGCUGAACUCUAAUGUCGAUCUGGCAUCUGCAAGGGACGAUGUUUGCUUCAACGCAUUGGCAGAGCAGCUCAGAAGCGGAGAGUUUGAUAUCGCUGCGAAUUCUUUCUCAGUAGCUGCAAAGAGGCAAGGAGGCGAGCGCAUUGUUCUUCCACGGCUCAACUUGAAAGUUAUCCAGGAAGCAGUUAGGGUGGUGCUUGAGGUUGUUUACAGACCUCAGUUCUCCAAGAUAUCACAUGGUUGUCGGAGUGGGCGAGGAUAUCACUCGGCGCUAAGGUUCAUAUCCACUGAAAUUGGGGUUCCAGAUUGGUGCUUUACUGUCCCCUUGUACAAGGAGGUAGAUAGUAAUGUGGUCUUAAAGCUUAUUUCACAAGUACAGGAAAAGAUUGUUGACGACCAGUUAGUGGCAUUCAUGCAAGAUAUGUUUGAUGCCGAGGCGAUCAAUUUGGUAUUUGGAGGGUUUCCCAAGGGCCAUGGAGUUCCUCAAGAAGGAGUACUUGCACCCAUCCUGAUGAAUAUAUAUCUUGACAGUUUUGACCAUGAAGUAUUUAGGAUUUGCAUGAAAUAUGAAGGCCUUUAUUCAGGUGCAACAAAUGUUACAGACAACCAGGGAUCCAAGUUGCGUCUCUGGUUUAGAAGUCAAAUGAAGGACAUGGAUCUAAAUAAUGAAGAUCAAACAGAGGGCCAGCCAAACGUGAGGUUAUAUGCUUGCAGAUACAUGGAUGAGAUUUUUGUUGCAGUUGUGGGGUCCAGAGACAUAGCAGAAACUGUAAAGUCUGAAGUUGUUGAUUACUUAACCAAAUCGCUUUACCUGAAAGUUGAUGAUGGAUUGUGUCUUGUGCCAGUAAAAAAGGACUCUCGGGGGUUGCAGUUUGCUGGCACUGUAGUUAAGGCAACAACAAAAGAAAGUGCUGCACUGAAAACUGUUCAUAAACUGAAGGAGAAGGUCCGUUUAUUUGCUUGUCAGAAGCAAGAGAUAUGGGAUGCUAUGAAUCUUAGGUUAGGAAAGAAGUGGUUGGCAUAUGGUUUGAGAAGGGUAAAGGAGUCUGAGAUCAAGUCACUUGGUCUUAGUACUCCGUUGCUGGAUCACAUUGCACAAUUUAGGAAAGAGGGCAUGAAGACAGAUCAUUGGUUCAAAACUUUACUUAAGGUAUGGAUGCAGGACAUCAAUGCCAAAAAUGAAGCUAAUGAGGAGGUGCUCCUGUCAAAAUACAUUGCUGAACCAGCACUUCCGCAGGAACUCAGAGAUGCUUUUAACAACUUUCAGAAGCAAGCUAAUGAUUAUAUCUCAUCAGAAACUGCUGCUACAGAAGCACUGUUGUCCAGCUUGAAGAAUAAGGAAUCAAUGUAUACCUGCCCUGAUGAUGCUGCCAUUAAGAUUUAUGCGCCUCUUAGUUAUAUCAAGAAGUGCCUCAAUCGCUAUGGUGUAACUAAUCUUGAAGGUUUCCCUAAACAUGUUUCAGCCCUUGUUUUGCAAGAUGAUGAGCUAAUCAUAAGUUGGUUUGCAGGAAUAAUUCAUCGUUGGGUAAGAUGGUUCUCUGAGGUUGACAAUUUUAAAGAGCUUCAACUUAUGUUAGUUGAAUGUGUCAGGAAAUCCUGCAUUCGGACACUAUCUGCAAAGUACCGAAUGUACGAAAAAUUGACAGAAAAGCGGUUUGAACUUGAUGAUUAUGGCAUUCCAAUGGUCGAGGACUUUGAGGCAAUGAUAGCACAGCUAGAACCUAGUUCUUCCUCAGUUUCCGCUGAUGAAGCUCUGACGUAUGGCAUUUCUAGUAGUGGCUUAUGUGUGCUCACCCUCUCAAGAGUUAGAGUCCCUGCUCGGAAAUUCAACUGCUUUGUCAUGGGCUGCCAAUCUUCGUCACCAAGUUUGUACAUCAUUCAUGUGAAGGAGAAACAGCGGUUUCCAGGAUGGAGGACAGGUUUCUCAUCAUCAAUUCAUGGGAGUUUAAAUGGUAGACGAAUUGGGUUGUGUACUCAACAUGUUAAAGAUCUAUAUCUAGGACAAAUCUCCCUUCAGUCAGUUGAUUUUGGUGUGCUGAUUAGAUGA